UGCUAAUUAACCAUGAACAUUGGAGCUCAAAUCAAACCAACUAGUAUUGUAACCAACUAAGAAGAGCAUCCAAUAAAUGAGAAACGAUCAAAGAAGAAGCACAAACCAAAGAGAUGAACAAUCAGACGGAAGAAUGAAAUCAAACCCGACGAAAUCAAACCAAAUCAGGCCAAUGGAAACCAAAAAUAUAAACUAAGAGAUAAGCAACCAAACAGAGAGAGAGGGAGUCAAUCAAACAUAAUGGUCUAGAGCGAGGGGAAAGGCAACCAAAAAGAAGAGCGAAUAGAGAAAAGCAACCAAACAUAACAAUUAACAGGAGAUAAUCAAUCAAACAGAAGAAAAGGAAACAUAAAUUUGCUGCAUGUCGGAGAGUUGUUGUGGUGAUGUUGCUGUGGAAGCUUUGGUUACAGUAUGCCGUGCUGUUUCUCAACUUGAAAUGGGGAGCUUGGCCGUUGCAAGCUUCGGAACAAAAGGAAACAUAAAUUUGCUGCAUGAUUUUGAUAGCCCAUUCACUGCAGAAGCCGGGUUAAGAUGGUCUCCAAUUUGAUGUUCAAGCAAGAGAAUACUAUUGCCGAUGAAUCAGUUGUUGAUCUGUUGAACUAUUAGACGAUGUUGUUGUAAAAGCACGACUUCCAUCCGGCCAUAACCCCCUACAGCAACUUGUUUUAAUGAUUGCAGACGGUCAUUUUCAUGAAAAGGAUAACUUAAAGCGGUGUGUUAGAGAAGCAUUAGCCAGUAACCGGAUGGUUGCGUUCUUGCUUCUUGAUAACUCUCAGGAGUCAAUAAUGGUUC
Medicago truncatula (barrel medic) is the source of this 792-nucleotide long non-coding RNA. RefSeq lists it as uncharacterized. NCBI's taxonomy places the organism in Eukaryota, Viridiplantae, Streptophyta, Magnoliopsida, Fabales, Fabaceae. The transcript is spliced from 3 exons. The record is from RefSeq and is a predicted model, not a curated record.